Transfer RNA from Camelus ferus (Wild Bactrian camel), 72 nucleotides. It matches the Rfam family "tRNA". From Rfam's summary of the family: Transfer RNA (tRNA) molecules are approximately 80 nucleotides in length. NCBI's taxonomy places the organism in Eukaryota, Metazoa, Chordata, Mammalia, Artiodactyla, Camelidae. The record is from Rfam.
GUGGGUAUAGCUCAGUGGUAGAGUGUGUGCUUAGCAUGCACGAGGUCCUGAGCUCAACCCCCAGUACCUCCG